Molecule: ribosomal RNA, 525 nt
Filed under: uncultured bacterium
Lineage: Bacteria
Description: bacterial SSU rRNA
Rfam family: Bacterial small subunit ribosomal RNA
Source: RNAcentral
AGUGGGGAAUCUUAGACAAUGGGCGCAAGCCUGAUCUAGCGAUGCCGCGUGAGUGAUGAAGGCCUUAGGGUCGUAAAGCUCUUUCGCCUGUGAAGAUAAUGACGGUAGCAGGUAAAGAAACCCCGGCUAACUCCGUGCCAGCAGCCGCGGUAAUACGGAGGGGGUUAGCGUUGUUCGGAAUUACUGGGCGUAAAGCGCACGUAGGCGGACUAGUCAGUCAGAGGUGAAAUCCCAGGGCUCAACCCUGGAACUGCCUUUGAUACUGCUAGUCUUGAGUUCGAGAGAGGUAAGUGGAAUUCCGAGUGUAGAGGUGAAAUUCGUAGAUAUUCGGAGGAACACCAGUGGCGAAGGCGGCUUACUGGCUCGAUACUGACGCUGAGGUGCGAAAGUGUGGGGAGCAAACAGGAUUAGAUACCCUGGUAGUCCACACCGUAAACGAUGAAUGCCAGACGUCGGGUAGCAUGCUAUUCGGUGUUACACCUAACGGAUUAAGCAUUCCGCCUGGGGAGUACGGUCGCAAGAUUA